GGGGUUGUGGCUCAGUGGUGGAGCGCUCUCCUUGCACGUGUGAGGCACUGGGUUCAAUUCUCAGCACCG
This 69-nucleotide transfer RNA is filed under the name Ictidomys tridecemlineatus (thirteen-lined ground squirrel). Its description in RNAcentral is "Spermophilus tridecemlineatus (thirteen-lined ground squirrel) tRNA". It matches the Rfam family "tRNA". From Rfam's summary of the family: Transfer RNA (tRNA) molecules are approximately 80 nucleotides in length. Their secondary structure includes four short double-helical elements and three loops (D, anti-codon, and T loops). The record is from Rfam by way of RNAcentral. Lineage: Eukaryota; Metazoa; Chordata; Mammalia; Rodentia; Sciuridae. RNAcentral also lists the same sequence under 1 other name.